UAGGGAAUCUUCGGCAAUGGACGGAAGUCUGACCGAGCAACGCCGCGUGAGUGAAGAAGGUUUUCGGAUCGUAAAGCUCUGUUGUAAGAGAAGAACGAGUGUGAGAGUGGAAAGUUCACACUGUGACGGUAUCUUACCAGAAAGGGACGGCUAACUACGUGCCAGCAGCCGCGGUAAUACGUAGGUCCCGAGCGUUGUCCGGAUUUAUUGGGCGUAAAGCGAGCGCAGGCGGUUAGAUAAGUCUGAAGUUAAAGGCUGUGGCUUAACCAUAGUACGCUUUGGAAACUGUUUAACUUGAGUGCAAGAGGGGAGAGUGGAAUUCCAUGUGUAGCGGUGAAAUGCGUAGAUAUAUGGAGGAACACCGGUGGCGAAAGCGGCUCUCUGGCUUGUAACUGACGCUGAGGCUCGAAAGCGUGGGGAGCAAACAGGAUUAGAUACCCUGGUAGUCCACACCGUANACGAUGAGUGCUAGGUGUUAGACCCUUUCCGGGGUUUAGUGCCGCAGCUAACGCAUUANGCACUCCGCCUGGGGAGUACGACCGCAGNUUG
Molecule: ribosomal RNA, 549 nt
Filed under: uncultured bacterium
Lineage: Bacteria
Description: bacterial SSU rRNA
Rfam family: Bacterial small subunit ribosomal RNA
Source: RNAcentral